Molecule: non-coding RNA, 8047 nt
Organism: Xyrichtys novacula (pearly razorfish)
Lineage: Eukaryota; Metazoa; Chordata; Actinopteri; Labriformes; Labridae
Source: the annotation of a GenBank genome assembly
UUUACUUUAUUAUUAUUAUUAUUAUUAUUGUUAUUAUUAUUAUUAUUAUUAAGUGGAAAUGCUGACACAGCAUUUCCACUUAUUGUUAUUCUCCUGUUUCUUUAUUAAGUGGAAAUGCUGACACAGCAUAGUCCCCAAGACUAUAAAUCCUGGGAAACAUUACAUGAAGCAGCCAAAGUGAGAAACCAUACCCCUAUUUUAGACAUUGCUAAAAAAAAACUUGGAGAAAAGGAUGUGCCUACAAUUUAUUAUCACAGAAAAUGCCGAAGCCUCUUCCAAUUCCCUCUUCAAUGACUCCAAUUGAAGAGGGAAUUGGAGUCAUUGAAAAAGAAAGCGAACAAAAGCAUUACUGGUGAUGAAGAUGUUGAGUACGGCUGUGUAUCAAAAAGGCCUAGAAGGAGAUCUUCAUCAGCAUCAAGGGUGUAUGAUCAUAUCUGCAUUUUUUGUAAGAAAUCUUCAUCAGCAUCAAGGGUGUAUGAUCAUAUCUGCAUUUUUUGUAAGAAAAAGAAGAUUUUAAAGGGCUCCAAGUCACGUGAAAAGCUUACACAAGCUGUACAACUCAGUGCUGAGGGUGGAAAAUGGAGACAGAAGGUGAAUCUGAACAGUUGGUGGUACACUGGAUGGACGGCCAGCCAGCACCUGAUGCGGUCCUGGAUCUACUGGCCUGUAACUGUCCAAAGAAAUGUUCACUCCCAAAAUGUGUCUGUUUUGCAAAUGGCCUCAAGUGUACUGACAUGUGUAUACUGGCAGACUGUGAGAACCAAGCAUCCACCUCAGACAGUGUGGAAAGUUCAGAUGAAGAAGACAUGGAAGAAGUUGAUGAAAAUGAUUUUGAUUAUUAGGUUGUGAAUGUAUAGAAGUCAAAAGUAUGAUCUGUAUAAUUGAGAAUGGGAGAGAUUCAGGCCUACACUAUUCCUGAACGGCAAACGUAGGGAUAUACACCAAAAUCCUCUUUCUUGGUUUAACUCUGUCCCAGAACAAAGCAUAGAACAAGCCAGGAACUGACAUGUAGAGACGGUAGCGGGGAUCCAGGCCAAAAUAAACAUACAAAAAAAAAAAAACACCCUCCCCUAUUGUUGCUACCUUGUCAUGGUGGGGAGGCUUGUGUGCCUCAGUGACCCUGAAGACUACACCAGCCGGGGUUAUACCCCUGGUAGGUACAACCAAGCCGGGCAGUUUUCAGGUUAGAGGCCAGUCCAAAAGCAGCAUUGCCAUCACCCUCUUUCAAUGUGCUUUCACUGUGAUAAUAGUUUAGGGGAAAAGGAGUAUUUUGGGCAAAUUUUAAUGAGUUUUGAGCUCAUUUGCGUAUUGUUGUCUGGCGAAAUUAACAUACUUUUCCAACUAGGAUUUCAUAGGACUUAUAUUAUGUUAGUCUAGAUACCUCAUAGAAAUGAUGUAUGGUGAAAAGAAACCCUUUCUAUAGGUUUUUUGGGGGGUUAAGUUGUAUGUUUUCAUAUAUUGACCCAUGUAAUUUUCGCCUAGUGUUAUAAAAUAAAAUGCAUGAUAGCACCCAUUUAGCUACCACUGCUGCAGUGCUAUCACAUAUUUUCUUACUCUAUACAUGUAUACAAUGUCAAAAAUCACUAUGAGCAUUAUUUCACACAGUUGAUACCGACCAACCCCCCUGGUUCAUGGCCUAUGGUGUCUGUCUGGUGUACAACAGCUUCGACAAUCAAGGGACGUCUUUGGAUAAGGAUAAGUAAAGUUAGUUGUUUUCUUUACUCGAAUAUUGACGCACAGUAUGUACACAUGAUACGAACCUUUUACUUGACUGUGAUGUCUCUCCUGCUGAUUUGCGCUUUCGCUGCUGCUGCUGCUGCUUGCUCACUUUUGGCACUUGAGAUUAAGAAUUAGAAAAAAAAAACAACACAGAAAUGGUAUAAAACAAUUUAGCAUGUUCCAGCACCCCUGGAAUUGUAUAUGAAUAUCUUAAGACGUACCUUGAAAAUCACCAUCAUCAUCAUGUUCUAUAACAAUCGGGUAUGUCCAUCCCCAGAAGUCGGCAUCUGUGGGGUUUCUGCAAUAAAUAGGUGGUUAAUUAUAUGUUUACAAAAAAAAAAAAAAAAAAAAAAAAAAAUUAGUAGUAGUUAGACAGACUUUCAUACCUAUUAAUAGACAGCUUGGCUUUCGAUUUGUUCUUUCUACUCAGCUUAUUUACCACUGGCUUGUUACUUUUGGCUUUAAAACAGAUAAAGACAUGAUAAUAUAAGGUGAGUAAGGCGUUGUAUGAUAAAGACGUAGAUACUCACGUACUCGCAGCAAGAUCCAUGGCAGAACAGGAAUUGUCGAUUCUGCAGGAUGUGAAAAACCACAAACACGCCUAAAUGAAUCAGAGGUGGGAUUGGGGCGCAAUUUAUACAUGCCUACCUAGGUUUGACACGCCCCUAUAGGCGGUACCAAGUCCUCCCAUUUUAACACGUUCACAGGAUUAUAGACCAAUCAAGCAAAACACAUGACAAGAUUUAAAAAAAACCCACAUAUUUCUCAGACACAUCUACAACUGUUGAUAAAAACAACAAAUCCGAUCAGCAUACGAAAAUACCUUUUGCUAGACACCAAACACUUUUGAGAGAAUAUGGUUUUUUUACGUAGAUUUUUUUCUAGCAUUUUUGGUAUGCAUUUUGCCUUUCCUUCCAGUAAAGUGUGUCGAUUUUCACAAAAUGUUUUAAACUCAAAAAUAAUUCCUGCCUUUGCCUUACAAUGACAAACUAGGCUAAUAUCAUGAGCAUUGAUUAUACCAAAUAUAUACGCUCAGUAUAGGCAACCAGUCCGUGGAACGAACUGCAGGAUUAACAUUAUGGUGACUUGCAACGUUAGAUCAGAAGUAUGAACAGCAAAUUGUAAUUUAGCCUUUCUAGAGUUCUAACAGCACGAGGAUGCGUGUAACUUGUUGAAAACAAAUUAACUUUAAUGAAAGGAUUUCACAUGAAACACUGUAUUUUCUGAAAACUGUGUGUGUGUGUGUGUGUGUGUGUGUGUGUGUGUGUGUGUGUGUGUGUGUGUGUGUGUGUGUGUUUGGGAGGGUAGGUAUGCAUGAAAAAAAAGGAAGCUAGCGGGUGACAAAACUCAGUGGCCCAGCAUCCUGCAAAAAGGAAGCUAGGAGGUGACAAAAAUCAGUGCCAUGCAUCCUGAGGCUGAGACACAUCGUCUCAUCUAAGUUGACAUCUACUUGCUAAAUGGAAAUCAGAAGUUAAAACAGCAUACGUAAAGAGCCUCUGCUACACACCAUAUGUCCCUGCAUCCUGGUGCUCUGAGACACGUCGUCUCAUCUAAGUUAACAUCUACCUGCUAGAUGGGAUCAGAAGGUAAAACAGCAUACGUAAAGACCUUCUGCUACACACCAAACACUUGCUGAGAAAUGUGACUUUUCCACAGUUUUUUUUUUAUUUUCACAAAAGGUUUUAAACUCAAAAAAAAAUUCCCGGAUGUGACGUCAGUCAUCCUUUACCCGGAUGUGACGUUGAACUCGGAUGUGACGUCAGUCAUAAUUAAUUCCAGUUACACUGCUCCUUAGUGCUGAUUGGUUGCGAGCAUAGACUGUAUAUAAUAUGGACAACCUGGUUCAGCCUACCGCCUGUAUACGGAUUUGAAGCCAAAAAGCUCUCGGUAUUUCUGGGAUUUUUCUUCAUUUCCUGAAACCAGCGCUGUGCAGUAGCAUUGUGCGCAUUCGGCCGCGCAGUCGCAGAGAGUCACUGUGAUGACGCUCGGCUCAAACAGCGUAUCCCCCCCGGGUGAGCUACACAAUCCCUGAACGCCCAUAGGCUGUAUCAGGUGUCAAUCAUAGCAGUCAUAAACCCCCGAAUAACUUUUAAAAACGGAGCUUCACAGAUAAAAGAGGACUUGAGCACAAACCAGUCUUACAAUAACUACAUGUCAACAUCGCAAGCAGGGGGAAGAAAAAUGUAUGUUCUGUGUAAUAAAUUUCUAAAGUUUGUCCACAUCCCCAUGAGCUUUGCUGGCGGAGGCGGGAUUUAUUUAUAUAUUUAUUUAUUUUUACUGCAGCCCAUCAACAGAGGGUGCUGUUCUCGGAGUGGCUUCACCCAGCGAGGAGGCAGACGGCGUCUAUUCUAUUUACAGUCUAUGGUUGCAAGGCAGACGCUGCUCAUCCGUGUCGUUCAUGAGCCCAAACAAAGUUAGCGUGCUACAAUAUCAGACAGUAGAAACAAACCAGAAAGUACAGGAAAUUGUCUGAAUCCUCCUUUAGCCACAACCACCAACACAAGCAAGAAAAUGAAGAAAAUACCAGAGAUUCUAGCAGAAUAACUGGCGCAUAAAAAGGAGGUAGACCAUCCGGACAAGAGCUAAAAAAAGCUGGGUCAACAAUGAUGGGGUACACUUUGGGAUCUUACAGACCCUGUAACCUUUAUGCUGGACAGGUAAACUGCUUUAACAAAGUUAGUCAAGUGUAGCAUAAGUGUUUUUCUUGUCAAACGGGACCUGCUGCAUGUUGUAGCGCCACUAAACUGUUUACCUCGGGUCCUGGAGUAUGUCACUUAAUGCUAGUCCUGCAAACAUUGUGUUUGCUGGUAGUCUGUUGGCAUCUACAGUAGAACCAAUGCUUUUUACUUUCAUGUUGACCGGGCUCCAUUUGUAAUUUUCUGAAGUAUUUAUCUGCAUUAUACCUGAAAUUAGUUGGAACGAUACAAGCGAGCAGGAGCAUCUGUUUGUGGGCGGGGCUUGCUGGAGCAGAGACGGAGGGGAGAGGAGGAGCUGAGGUGAAAACUUGUUGGGAGUGGUAGUGUUUACAUUCAAGAUUUCUCCUAAAAACUGGUACUUCCUCAGAUCCUGCCUACCCCUCCUUUAAAUUCAAGUUUGACUCCAUUCUAACAACAGAUUAACUCCACACCAGUUUAACAGUUUGACUUCAGUCCAUUUCUCCUCUUUUUGCUUUUGUCUCAUGUGUUUGUUGUAUCUUGUUUUAAGUCUUUAUCGGUUGAGUUUCACAUCUCAUCCUCUUCUGUAUUGUAUUUUUAUAUAUUGAGUUUCAUGUCUCAUCCUUUUCUGUUACAAGUCUUUAUUUCCUGAGUUUCAUGUCUCAUCCUAUUCUGUCUCAUGUCUUUAUCUACUGAGUUUAUAUUUUUAUUUCAAUAUAUUUCACAAAACACAAAAACUUUUUCCUAAAACACAGAAACAUUUUUAAAUAAAGCAAAAAAUAUUUUGCAGAUUGGAAUAUUUAUUUCUAUUGGCCUUAAGUGCCUUCAGAAAGUUAAAGUCAGAUGUUCAAAACCUACGCAAGUAAAAGGCUCUAUGAGGCUCUAUCUUAAAUUUUGUACACAAGUAUUAGACACAUUUUUUUUCUGAUUUUGAAUGCAUUUAAAGGGAUAUUCUGGCAUAGAAUUAUGUCAGGGUCAAACACACUAUAACACCAAGUUAGACACCCCCUUGAGAGACAACCACAUGAUAGCAAUAAACAGCGGUCUACAUCUCCAUGUGCACACCUCAACCAAAAAGCCACUCUAUAGCCACAGAUAGUGCUCAGAACAGCACCUAACUUCAUCAACAGUACUUAUAGGGACCCAGCCAUAGUACUAGCCACCAAACAUCUUUUCAGCUUUGCCUAGUUUCUUUGGUAAAGAGACUAAACACAACUCACCCACUCUCCUCCAGCAGCUGGUUGUUUGUUGAGGAGUCCUGACGAGUCUUUCACCGUGUGCAGCAGAAUUUCGCAGCUGAAGGGGUUCCCCCCACAUAGUCAACCGCUCCGCUAAGUGCUAUCUGUUUGACAGGCGUGGUGAGGUGUCAACACAUUUAAUCAGUCAUAACUAGCUGAAUACUAAAUGGAUUUUCACACAUUUUUUUAAUUGCAAAUGCCAUACAUGUAGGUAUAAUACAGGACACAUGGUUCAGGGCAUAGCUGUCAAGUCUCCCAUUUUGCGUAAGGAAAACUAUCGUAUUUUCGCCCUCUUUCUCGCUGUCCUCCUGUAUUAGUAUUCUCUGGUAAAUCUGCUGUAUUAUAAUAUGAUUAAAAAACAUUCCUCUUCCUCUCCAAACUGAACUUUGUCAUUAGCCCUGCCAGAACUGCCACCUGCAAUAGCCUGAGUGGCAAUGUCAGCAAAGGUAGGCCUAUGAAUCAUCUAAUUAUAUUUAGAAAGUGGUUGACAAGUGGCCUUUUUUAGAUUUCUUCUACACCUGUCUGAAAAUGCAAGGGAUACUGGAGCUUGGUUGGGUUGGAGAGAUGGCUCAUAGUAGGGACCAGAAAAUUUCGGUUAUUUUUAAGUCCAAACCCUAAUGGCUCAUUGUGUUUUGAUAUUCAUAGUGGGCUUAACAGUAACAGAAUAUUCUGAUAUGUGAUAUAUGGUAGGUAUCUUGAAACACACACAUUAAAUAUUUCAUAUUGAUUAUAUAUAUAUAUAUAUAUAUAUAUAUAUAUAUAUAUAUAUAUAUAUAUAUAUUUACACUUCUGUACAGCAGCCAACUUAACGGCCCCCCCAAAUUGUGAAGUGACUAACCGUCAUGAGCUGAAACACAACUAGGUCAGAGAUUAUCUAGGCACCCCCUUUUUUGGUACAUUAUGUUAUUGUAACACAAGUAAAAACCUUAUAAUCAUAUAGUGGAUUUGUAAGCAUGUCUUAAUUGCAGCAUCUUAUAUGUGUGCCAGUAUGUAUAAUGCUGUUCUUCAUUACAAUUAUGAGCAGCAAGCAGUUCUUCAUUGCACAUGCAUGUGGAACUAAUAAACAGAGUCAUGUGUAAACAGAUAAAAUCUGUUUACACCCUAACCCUAACCCUUAUAAGCUAUUUUAUCAAAACAGUGUCCACCCACAUGUCAACAUCACAAGCAGGGGGGAGAAACAUUUAGAUUCUGUGUAAUAAAUUUCUAAUGUUUGUCCACAGCCCCAUAAGCUUUGCUGGCAGAGGCAGGAUUUAUGACCCAUACUGCAGCCUGUCAACAGAGGGUGCUGUUCUCGGAGUGGCUUCACCCAGCAAGGAGGCAGACUCUGUCCAUUCUUUAUACAGACUCUGUCCAUUUGUUUUCUAUUUGAUUUUAUCACUGAAUAAAUUGCAAGAGCACUUUCUAAACUUUAUAUGUCAGACUCCAUCGAUAAGGUGCUGUCUCUUCUGUACAGCACCUUUGUGGAGUCUCUCCUUGUUAUUGUUCUCCGGCAUCGGGUCCUCACGUUGCACCGGCACAGUCAACGGCACUCCAUUCACCAGUGCAACAUUGUGCUAAACUGUACUGGCCCAAAUAAUGUCCCACACCCCUUCAGGAGAGUACAACAACGUCCCCACUGCUGGACUAAGACAGAGCUACCUGCCUGUUGAUAAAAGGCAAGCAGAUUGAAAUUGUUGAGUCCUAUAAUACCUUGGUGUCCAUUUGGACAAUAAAUUAAACUGGAAAGAAAAUACCCAGGCCUCAUUGAAGAACUCAGUCUAGACUUCUUCUUCUCAGAAAGCUAAGAUCUGUCAAUGUCAGCACUAGGCUUCUGGAGUCUUCUGGCUAGGGUCCUUUUUUAUACUGUACUUUGCUGGGGGGGCAGCAUAUCAUCUGAUGACAAAAAUAGGAUCAACAAGAUGAUCAAGAGGGCCAGAUCAGUUAUUGGCUUAGUCCCAGAGUCUCUUGAGGCCAUUGUUGAGAGGAGAACCAGGUCUAAAUUAAUAUUAAUCCUGGGCUACAAAGAUCAUCCGUUGCACUAUGUCUUCAAAGGUCUUGAAAGCUCUUUUAGUGAGUGACUUGUGAUGCCUUGGUGCUCCACUGAACGACAAAGGUCUUUUGUUCCAGCAGCAGUGAGAUUUUUUAACAGUGUGCGCUAAGGUCUGACUUGGCACUGCUGCAUAGUUUUUUGAGGUAUUCAUUUUAGUAUUUAUUUAUUUUUAUCAGGCUUUUGUUGUAUUUAAUUAUGUCCUUAUCUUUUAUUGUACCACUUUUAAAUCAUGUUUCACUGGCCUUUACUGUGUUUGUUGUGAAUCCGGUAUUGAGUCUAUGUUUUUUCUGAUGUCUCUAUGCUGUUUGUUGUCUGUAUGAGUCUUCUUGUCCUGGUGGUGAAAUUAUUUCCCCAAUGCGGGAUCAAUAAAGUCUACCUUACCCUACCUUACCUUAAAAUUCAUCCCU